UAAAGAUUGCCUGGAAGAGGUCUGGGUGUGGAGUGUUGCUGAAGAGGUUUUAGCCCGAGGGCUUUUUUCAGUUCUCUGUGGCAUUUUGCUGUGAGCCGCCCCCUCUCCUCAAACUCCGUGCCCUAUCUCAAUGUUUCCUCAGCCUUCCAAUGUUCCAAGUCUAGUUUCUCUUAGGGGUAAGUCUGUGUCGACCUCAUCCAGCCUCCCUCCUGCAACUUAGAUGUUUGUCAUGUGCUCUCUUGGACUCUGGAAAGCUCAUUUUACAGAUGAGGAAACUGAGACCAACACUGUAAAGUGAUUUGCCCAGGGUCACACAGCUAGGAAGUGUCUGAAGCCAGAUCUGAACCCAGAAAGUCAAGUCUUCCUGCCUCUAAUUCUGGUAGUCUACCAACUGAACCACUCAGCUGCUUUAAUAAUAGAUAUGUAUCAAAUUAUAUCUCUCAGUCUCAAGGACCUGGGAUGUGAUGUUUCUUCAUUCCUCCUGAGGCCUCCAAAAGGAUGGGAGAGAAAGGUAUUGGAAAUACUCCAACUUCUUGGACUGAUGGUCCCUCCCAGCAAGUUGAAUUGGAAAAAGAAUUGGAGAUUUGUGAUCAGAAAGCUGAAUUUGAACCUUGAUUCCACUGCAUAUUACCUGUGUAACAUUUACAUUUCUAUUAUCUUCUGUAAUCUUCAUGUUUUUGAAGGCAGAGUGGUGAACUGGAUAACCUCUGCAGUCCUUUUCGGGUCUAAAUUUUUUUAUCCUAUGUUCCUCCACAUAUGA
This 760-nucleotide long non-coding RNA is filed under the name Monodelphis domestica (gray short-tailed opossum). RNAcentral's name for it is "lncRNA (ENSMODG00000051005.1)". Lineage: Eukaryota; Metazoa; Chordata; Mammalia; Didelphimorphia; Didelphidae. The record is from RNAcentral.